Long non-coding RNA from Vespa crabro (European hornet), 302 nucleotides. RefSeq lists it as uncharacterized. NCBI's taxonomy places the organism in Eukaryota, Metazoa, Arthropoda, Insecta, Hymenoptera, Vespidae. The transcript has 3 exons. The record is from RefSeq and is a predicted model, not a curated record.
GAACAAAAUAUUAUUUCAUUGUUCAAAAAACAAUGGGCUAGAUUCGAUAUCAGCAUAUAACCAUCGCAUAAAAUGAGGUGUACAAUAAACAGUGAGUUAUAUCCAAUAAUGAUCGAUCGAGUCUAUUUAAAAGAGUCAUCACUCACCUCUCCCGUUUUGGAUUUUAACAAAGCACGCAAGCAAUCUUCGACUAAGGAAUCACCGGAAACAUUCUGUUACGAAAAAUGAUGCUGCGAAUAUAAAUGGAUCGUUUGUACGAAAUUGAGGAUUUAUCACCAGACGACCGUCGAAUACUAAACCAG